GAUGAACGCUGGCGGCGUGCUUAACACAUGCAAGUCGAACGAACUGAGGAGAGCUUGCUCUCCAAAGUUAGUGGCGGACGGGUGAGUAACGCGUGGGUAACCUGCCCUAUGCAGGGGGAUAACGUUUGGAAACGAACGCUAAUACCGCAUAAACUAUGGAUAGUCGCAUGACUAUUAUAGCAAAGAUUUAUCGGCAUAGGAUGGACCCGCGUUGGAUUAGCUAGUUGGUGAGAUAACAGCCCACCAAGGCGACGAUCCAUAGCCGGCCUGAGAGGGUGAACGGCCACAUUGGGACUGAGACACGGCCCAAACUCCUACGGGAGGCAG
This 327-nucleotide ribosomal RNA is filed under the name uncultured Bacillota bacterium. RNAcentral's name for it is "bacterial SSU rRNA". It matches the Rfam family "Bacterial small subunit ribosomal RNA", at positions 28 to 351 of the family's 1533-position model. Lineage: Bacteria; Bacillati; Bacillota. The record is from RNAcentral.